This 253-nucleotide ribosomal RNA is filed under the name uncultured bacterium. RNAcentral's name for it is "partial 16S ribosomal RNA". It matches the Rfam family "Bacterial small subunit ribosomal RNA", at positions 524 to 776 of the family's 1533-position model. The record is from RNAcentral.
UACGUAGGGGGCAAGCGUUGUCCGGAAUCAUUGGGCGUAAAGGGCGUGUAGGCGGUCCGGUAAGUCGGUUGUGAAAGCCCAGGGCUCAACCCUGGGAUGCCGACCGAUACUGUCGGACUAGAGUUCGGAAGAGGCGAGUGGAAUUCCCGGUGUAGCGGUGAAAUGCGCAGAUAUCGGGAGGAACACCUAUGGCGAAGGCAGCUCGCUGGGACGUUACUGACGCUGAGGCGCGAAAGCCAGGGGAGCAAACGGG